UGAAUACGAGACGCUAAGGCGUCGAAGUAGUGUAUGUCAUACUUCCAAGAAAAGCUUGCACUGUCAUAGAUAAAAAACGCCUGUACCAUAACCGACACAGGUGGGUAGGUAGAGUAUACUAAGGGGCGCGAGAUAACUCUUUCUAAGGAACUCGGCAAAAUGACUCCGUAACUUCGGGAGAAGGAGUGCCUUAUUCUUAAGGUUGCAAUAACAAGAUCCAAGCAACUGUUUAUCAAAAACACAGGUCUCCGCUAAGUCGUAAGACGAUGUAUGGGGGCUGACGCCUGCCCAGUGCCAGAAGGUUAAAGAAGUUGGUUAGCAUUUGCGAAGCUGAUAACUGAAGCCCUGGUGAACGGCGGCCGUAACGAUAACGGUCCUAAGGUAGCGAAAUUCCUUGUCGGGUAAGUUCCGACCCGCACGAAAGGCGUAAUGAUUUGGAUACUGUCUCGGAGAGGGGCUCGGUGAAAUAGACUUGUCUGUGAAGAUGCGGACUACCUGCACCAGGACAGAAAGACCCUAUGAAGCUUUACUGUAACUUGAAAUUGAAAUUGGACUUUAUUCGCGCAGUAUAGGUGGGAGGCGUUGAUUAUAAUCUUGCGGGAUUAUUGGAGCCAUCAGUGAGAUACCACCCUUGUAAUGUUAGAUUUCUAACUUUGAAUCAUUAUCUGGUCAAAGAACAGUUUCAGGCGGGCAGUUUGACUGGGGCGGUCGCCUCCUAAACGGUAACGGAGGCGUACAAAGGUUUCCUCUGAACGGUUAGAAAUCGUAUCUAGAGUGUAAAGGCAUAAGGAAGCUUGACUGUGAGACCUACAAGUCGAGCAGGGACGAAAGUCGGUCUUAGUGAUCUGACGGUACUGAGUGGAAAGGCCGUCACUCAACGGAUAAAAGUUACUCUAGGAUAACAGGCUGAUCUCCCCCAAGAGUUCACAUCGACGGGGAGGUUUGGCACCUCGAUGUCGGCUCAUCGCAUCCUGGGGCGGUAGUACGUCCCAAGGGUUGGGCUGUUCGCCCAUGAAAGCGGUACGCGAGCUGGGUUCAGAACGUCGUGAGACAGUUCGGUCCAUAUCCGGUGUAGGCGUUAGAAUAUUGAGAGGAGCCUUCUUUAGUACGAGAGGACCGAGAAGGACAUACCUCUGGUGUACCAGUUAUCGUGCCAACGGUAAACGCUGGGUAGCUAUGUAUGGAGUGGAUAACCGCUGAAAGCAUCUAAGUGGGAAGCCCACCUCAAGAUAAGUAUUCUCAUC
RNAcentral lists this ribosomal RNA (1244 nucleotides) under metagenome. RNAcentral describes it as "bacterial LSU rRNA". It matches the Rfam family "Bacterial large subunit ribosomal RNA", at positions 1564 to 2818 of the family's 2925-position model. The record is from RNAcentral.